This 22-nucleotide microRNA is filed under the name Macaca fascicularis (crab-eating macaque). RNAcentral describes it as "novel_miR33-5p". Lineage: Eukaryota; Metazoa; Chordata; Mammalia; Primates; Cercopithecidae. The record is from RNAcentral.
UGUCCGCUGGCUUACUCUCUCU